Molecule: RNA transcript, 2105 nt
Organism: Magnolia sinica
Lineage: Eukaryota; Viridiplantae; Streptophyta; Magnoliopsida; Magnoliales; Magnoliaceae
Exons: 7
Source: RefSeq, a predicted model, not a curated record
AAACAAAAAAAACUAACUCAUUUCUCAUUCUCUCUCUGCCCCCGCAUGACUCCCCUGUUUCUCUCUCCGCCCCCGCAGGACUCCACCUUCUUCUUCUUGACAGUGCAAGAGCUCGAAGUGAUCGAUCAACUUCUAUCGAGAUCGAGAGACAGAGUCAUUGGGCAUUUGGAAGGAAAGCGCCCGUGUGCCUCUCUCUCUCUCUCUCCUUUGAUGGCGAUACCAUGGCCGCUGACCUUCUUCAGCUCCACUUGCCCUCUCUUCACAGCCCUACCAUCCGUACGAUCGCAUUUCCUUACCCGCCGUCACCUUCCAACCAUCUCAGCAACCUCCCUUUCCACUUCCCAACCUUCACUCCCCAACAAAUCCCAUCCCUUCCACAAAACCCCACAACCGACGGCUGAAAAUCACAGCCUCCCACUUCAACUUCUCAUUCCCUCUGCUCAUCUCUUCUCACGAAUCACGAUCAUUGGGGAAUAUGGACCUCGCUCUUCACAGUUGGUGAAUUCGGCCUCUGGUCGGAGAAGACGAAAGUGCGGAGCGUGCUGAGCGGCGCCCUGGUCAGCACUCUGAUGGCGCUCGCCAUGACCAACUUCAACAUCAUUGCUAGUGAGGUCCCGGUGUAUUCUGUUGUCUUGGAGUAUCUGCUGCCCGUCGCCAUUCAUUUGCUGCUCUUCAGAGCAGAUCUGCGUCGCAUCCUGCAGUCCAUCAGACGCUGCUUUUGGUCUUCUUGCUUGGAUCAGGUUACGAGGGACUUGUUGGAUCAUCUAACUAGCCGGGAUGUUGGAACAUAAUUUAUUGUUGCAGUUUGAUCUAGACCAGUGUAUUUGGAAAAGUUGCACCAGUCCUCUAUCUAGACCAAUGUAUUUGGAUGUAAGCUAUUGCAGAUUGCAAUUUGUUAUUGAUUGUGCUUAAAAGAUGAACUUCAUUUCUCUGGCUUACUGAUCACAGUGCUAUGAAGGGAAACAACCUUUUGAAUUUGACUGGGCUCACAUGAUAAGAUCUUGCCUUAUAUUGUUGUGGACGAUUUGCAAAGAACAACACUUCAUAAUUGCCUGAUGCAAAAAUGAAGAAAUUUACAGAAGACGCUAUUAAAUUCGAAAUGGAUGACACUGCUGAACUGUAUGACUUUGAGGUUGAGAAGAUUUGUCGUCCGUUCAUAGAACCAAUCCGAUGAUAGCAACUUCAGAAUAGUUGGAUUUAAGAUGGAUGGAUGGGAUGGAAGUUGGAUCAAGUUGGUUGGGAGAAGCAUUUUUGGUUUUGCUGCAGCAGCUACCACUGUGAUUGCCAUCAGCUGCGAUUCCUUGGCCUCGCGGAGUCUCUCAUCAUCGCUUUCCCAGCUUCUCGUGGAGAGCUUGAUCAGCCUUGUGAAUAGGAUCGAGAGGGCCUAUAUGGUCCUCAGCGACUAUGGUGCCAACAACUCCCUGCUAACUCUUUGGGAAGCCCUUCCACUCGUCGCCGUCGUUAGUGGACAUGUUUGUCUCUCAAUCUGUUUCCAUAUACUUUAGGUUCUUCAUUUUUGUUGAGUUAUAUGGUUUAUACUUUGAUUUUAUUUCAUUUGAUUGCAGAAUUCUGCAAAAUCAUUGAUUUUAGAGAGCAUCAUCGGGCGUGAUUUUCUUCCUAGGGGAUCUAUUGCACAAGACAGACAAAGGACAGACGGAGCAUGUUGAGUUUCUUCACUUGCCAAAGAGGAGAUUUUCAGGUUUCGCAACGAACAUCUUCAAGUAGGCAGAGGAACUGCAAAGGCGAAAUAAUUACUUUCUACUACCAUUGAUCUGAAUUGUUUUUUUUCUUAUGAAAUAAGGUAUUUCCACCAAGCUCUUUUUUUAAUAAUUAUUUAGUAAGUAGGUUGAUUAGAUUGUUGAAUGAAUACAUGGAUAUGAAAAACUAACAUUGAAUGAUGAGGGAAUGGAAAACUACAGAUUUCAUCAGUUACUCUGCUCUACUUUCUACUCCAUGAAUCUGUUUUUGUUUUUGUUUUUGUUUUUAUGUUUUGUGAAAUUCGAUACGGUGGUUGAUGAAGGAUUUAUUUAUUUAUUUAUAUAUAUGAUGAAUUCCGCCCCUUGUUCUCCAUAAUCAAGAAAAUUAGAAUUCCUCAAAAAAUCAUU